This 492-nucleotide ribosomal RNA is filed under the name uncultured bacterium. Its description in RNAcentral is "partial 16S ribosomal RNA". It matches the Rfam family "Bacterial small subunit ribosomal RNA", at positions 29 to 507 of the family's 1533-position model. The record is from RNAcentral.
AGUGAACGCUGGCGGUAGGCCUAACACAUGCAAGUCGAACGGAAGCACAGUAAGAUCUUGCUCUUACGGGUGGCGAGUGGCGGACGGGUGAGGAAUACAUCGGAAUCUACUUUUUCGUGGGGGAUUACGUAGGGAAACUUACGCUAAUACCGCAUAUGUCCUACGGGUGAAAGCAGUGGAUAUUCGGACCUUGCGCGAUUGAAUGAGCCGAUGUCGGAUUAGCUAGUUGGCGGGGUAAAGGCCCACCAAGGCGACGAUUCGUAGCUGGUCUGAGAGGAUGGUCCGCCCCACCAGAAAUGGAACCGCGUCCCGACGACUAAGGGAAGGCGCAGUUGGGGAUAGUAGACAGUUGGGGGAAAGCUUGUCCAAUCAACGCCGGUGGGGUGAAGAGGCGCUGCGGUUGGAAAGCCCUUUUGUUGGGAGAAAAAAGCAGCAGGUUAAAACCCCGCUGGUCUGACGGUACCCAAAGAAGAAGCACCGGCUAAAUUCGUG